This 333-nucleotide ribosomal RNA is filed under the name Triticum aestivum (bread wheat). RNAcentral describes it as "partial small subunit ribosomal RNA". Lineage: Eukaryota; Viridiplantae; Streptophyta; Magnoliopsida; Poales; Poaceae. The record is from RNAcentral.
AUGACAAAGAGCCGCUUCGCCUAUGUGAUGGCCAUCUUGUUCAUCGGCUGGGUUGCAGGGACUGCAGAGUGUCGUCUGGAGGCUGGAAGCAAGGCCGAUCUGGAUUAUCAUACCAUGACAAGUGCUGGUGAUAUCAGUGAAAGCAAGCUUAAUGUGAAGUUUUGUCUCCGAAAGAAAUGUGGUUCACCUGAUUCACCGUUUGGCGUAGACUGCUACUGCUGCCUCAACAAGCCCGACAGCCCGUGUUUCGCCACAAGUGACGACUGCAAGAAAAAGUGUCCUACUUGCAAUCCCAGCUGCGCUCUUUCGGAUGCGAAGGAAUUUCAUCCAUGA